Molecule: long non-coding RNA, 321 nt
Organism: Gadus chalcogrammus (walleye pollock)
Lineage: Eukaryota; Metazoa; Chordata; Actinopteri; Gadiformes; Gadidae
Exons: 3
Source: RefSeq, a predicted model, not a curated record
GAACACCAAACACCUGGGCUUCCGCUCCGUGGACCAGCACCUCCGUCUCGCAUUCACCGAUGUCUACGGCCCCGACGACCAGCUUCCUCUUACCAAGGAGACCGCCGUCUGCAUCCGCGUGCCCGCCCUCUCUCAGGAACUACCCGGCUGCAGGAAGAGGAAGCGCCAGGCAGAGGAUGAAGACGCCGACGACCUCGAUGAGGCGUCAGGAAGCUCCGCCCCUCGGAGUCCGUCUCACCUCGAACGCGAGCGACGCCUCUAUGAACUCUACAGAACCAAAUGUCCGUCGUCGUUACGGGACAGCUCGAGCGGGUUCUACGU